RNAcentral lists this ribosomal RNA (629 nucleotides) under uncultured bacterium. RNAcentral describes it as "bacterial SSU rRNA". It matches the Rfam family "Bacterial small subunit ribosomal RNA", at positions 554 to 1202 of the family's 1533-position model. The record is from RNAcentral.
CUGGGCGUAAGCGCGCGCAGGCGGCACACUAAGUACGAUGUGAAAUCUCCCUGCUCAACGGGGAGGGUGCAUAGUAAACUGGUGAGCUAGAGGACGGUAGAGGGGGGUGGAAUUGCUGGUGUAGCGGUGAAAUGCGUAGAGAUCAGCAGGAACACCCGUGGCGAAGGCGGCCCCCUGGGCCGAACCUGACGCUGAGGCGCGAAGGCUAGGGGAGCGAACGGGAUUAGAUACCCCGGUAGUCCUAGCAGUAAACGAUGGCCACUAGGUGUGGGGGGUGUUGACCCCUUCCGUGCCGAAGCUAACGCAUUAAGUGGCCCGCCUGGGGAGUACGGUCGCAAGACUAAAACUCAAAGGAAUUGACGGGGACCCGCACAAGCAGCGGAGCGUGUGGUUUAAUUCGAUGCGACGCGAAGAACCUUACCAAGGCUUGACAUACACCUGCAACUGCUUGAAAGAGCAACCUCUUCGGACAGGUGCACAGAUGCUGCAUGGCUGUCGUCAGCUCGUGUCGUGAGAUGUUGGGUUAAGUCCCGCAACGAGCGCAACCCUUGUCCUUAGUUGCAAAUCUAGGGAGACCGCCGGAAACAAACCGGAGGAAGGUGGGGAUGACGUCAAGUCAGCAUGGCUCU